AUUGAACGCUGGCGGCAGGCCUAACACAUGCAAGUCGAGCGGAUGAAGGGAGCUUGCUCCUGGAUUCAGCGGCGGACGGGUGAGUAAUGCCUAGGAAUCUGCCUGGUAGUGGGGGAUAACGUCCGGAAACGGGCGCUAAUACCGCAUACGUCCUGAGGGAGAAAGUGGGGGAUCUUCGGACCUCACGCUAUCAGAUGAGCCUAGGUCGGAUUAGCUAGUUGGUGGGGUAAAGGCCUACCAAGGCGACGAUCCGUAACUGGUCUGAGAGGAUGAUCAGUCACACUGGAAUUGAGACACGGUCCAGACUCCUACGGGAGGCAGCAGUGGGGAAUAUUGGACAAUGGGCGAAAGCCUGAUCCAGCCAUGCCGCGUGUGUGAAGAAGGUCUUCGGAUUGUAAAGCACUUUAAGUUGGGAGGAAGGGCAGUAAGUUAAUACCUUGCUGUUUUGACGUUACCAACACAAUAAGCACCGGCUAACUUCGUG
This 484-nucleotide ribosomal RNA is filed under the name uncultured bacterium. RNAcentral describes it as "partial 16S ribosomal RNA". It matches the Rfam family "Bacterial small subunit ribosomal RNA", at positions 30 to 507 of the family's 1533-position model. The record is from RNAcentral.